RNAcentral lists this long non-coding RNA (467 nucleotides) under Lonchura striata (white-rumped munia). RNAcentral describes it as "domestica (Bengalese finch) lncRNA (ENSLSDG00000010856.1)". The record is from RNAcentral. Lineage: Eukaryota; Metazoa; Chordata; Aves; Passeriformes; Estrildidae.
GCCCCCCGCUCAGCGAUUGGCCGAAAAAUUGGGGCUGGGACGGGAACCGGGAGCCCGGGAUGCGCUGGGCAGGUGAGACAGGUGAGACAGGUGAGAUGGGACAGGUGAGAUGGGACAGGUGAGAUGGACAGGUGAGAUGGACAGGUGAGAUGGGACAGGUGAGACAUGGACAGGUGAGACAUGGACAGGUGAGACAGGUGAGAUGGACAGGUGAGACAUGGACAGGUGAGACAUGGACAGGUGAGAUGGGACAGGUGAGACAUGGACAGGUGAGACAUGGACAGGUGAGACAUGGACAGGUGAGACAUGGACAGGUGAGAUGGACAGGUGAGAUGGGACAGGUGAGAUGGACAGGUGAGAUGGGACAGGUGAGAUGGACAGGUGAGACAGGUGGGACAGGUGAGGUUGGACAGGUGGGAGAGGUGGGACAGGUGACACAGGUGAGAUAUGAACAGGUGAGGUGGGUG